UGCAGUCUAACGAGAAAGUCUUAGCUUGCUAAGACGAGUAAAGUGGCGAACGGGUGAGUAACGCGUGGGUAAUCUGCCCUUGAAUUUGGAAUAACUUCGCGAAAGCGGUGCUAAUACCGAAUAAUAUCGGUUUUACUUUGGUAAGACAGAUCAAAGACAGCCUCUGAUGUAAGCUGUUGUUUGAGGAUGAGCCCGCGUACCAUUAGCUUGUUGGUAAGGUAAAAGCUUACCAAGGCAACGAUGGUUAGCUGGUCUGAGAGGAUGAUCAGCCACACUGGAACUGAGACACGGUCCAGACUUCUACGGAAGGCAGCAGUAAGGAAUUUUGCGCAAUGGGGGAAACCCUGACGCAGCAACGCCGCGUGAGUGAAGAAGGAUUUCGGUUCGUAAAGCUCUGUCAAGUGGGAAGAAAGUAUCGAUUGCCAAUAACAAUCGGUAUUGACGGUACCGCUGAAGGAAGCACCGGCUAACUCCGUG
This 477-nucleotide ribosomal RNA is filed under the name uncultured bacterium. RNAcentral's name for it is "bacterial SSU rRNA". It matches the Rfam family "Bacterial small subunit ribosomal RNA", at positions 56 to 507 of the family's 1533-position model. The record is from RNAcentral.